GCAACUCGCCUACACGAAGCUGGAAUCGCUAGUAAUCGCGGAUCAGCACGCCGCGGUGAAUACGUUCCCGGGCCUUGUACACACCGCCCGUCACACCAUGAGAGUCUGUAACACCCAAAGCCGGUGGGAUAACCUUUAUAGGAGUCAGCCGUCUAAGGUAGGACAGAUGAUUAGGGUGAAGUCGUAACAAGGUAAC
Molecule: ribosomal RNA, 196 nt
Filed under: uncultured bacterium
Lineage: Bacteria
Description: partial 16S ribosomal RNA
Rfam family: Bacterial small subunit ribosomal RNA
Source: RNAcentral